This 208-nucleotide long non-coding RNA is filed under the name Lathyrus oleraceus (garden pea). RNAcentral describes it as "Pisum sativum (pea) long non-coding RNA (PSAT_LNC024891)". Lineage: Eukaryota; Viridiplantae; Streptophyta; Magnoliopsida; Fabales; Fabaceae. The record is from RNAcentral.
CUUGGACCACUUUUGCAAAAAAGAUAGAAACUUUGGCCUUAUGCCAUUGCAUUUUCAAGCUCAUUUUCUUAAAUCAAACUUGUAAAUAAACUUAACUAUACUUGACUUAAACUUUCAAAAAAGCCAAAAAGAACUAACUCAUUCAAAUCAUUAUUAGGCCUUUGUGCCUUUCAAACUUGAAUUUUAUUAAAAGCAAUGCACUCAUUUU